This is a long non-coding RNA of Varroa destructor (honeybee mite), 1143 nucleotides long. RefSeq lists it as uncharacterized. NCBI's taxonomy places the organism in Eukaryota, Metazoa, Arthropoda, Arachnida, Mesostigmata, Varroidae. The record is from RefSeq and is a predicted model, not a curated record.
CGUGCCAGUGCUCAUAGCUGCAAAAACAUGUCUCAGCCAGCUUUCACUGGUAGUGACAACGCAAAGAGGACGGCGAGGUGGGAAAAUAUGGCUAUUAAGAUCUUAUAGGUUGGAUCGCCACUUAGAGAAAAACACCCUCGUCUCUCCGAGGCGAUCGGCUUCGAAACGAGGAAAUGCGACCAGAGACUUAGCUAAUUUAGCAUCGUCUGCGCACUGCACCAGUCGCUUCAGGGUGACCUAUGGGCCUAGAGAAGGUAAGGUUGCUAAGUAAGGUUGCUAAAUAUGGCUACGGUGGCUGUGGCCUGUCGGUAAUAAAGCACUGCGCGAAAGCGAUGACAAAUGUGCGCGUGAACUUCUAGUGCUGCAACAUGGACCGGAUUAAUCAAUAGGAAGACGGUACUGAACACAGCACGUGCAGUUUUUCUCUCUACCUUUUUGGAUGUCUCGCUUAGGACGCGGGGUCCAUUGGCUUUAAUGAAAAAGGGCACCGUUUCUGUGCCAUCCUGAAGGACUUCGGUAUUUCAGCGCCUGGAGUAUAUAGAUCAUGUGACAAGUCAAAAGUUGUGAAAUUUGGUUUGCGUAAAUGCUGAGGGUAACCUACAAUUAUGCAGAGAAAGGAGCUACGCUUCAACGCUCGAGUUACCUAAAACAUUUGGUGAGCGAAUUAAAAUACGUGGAACAGAGGUCUGGGGUGUCAAAGAGAUCUAACUUCGUAGCCUUGUACAGACGGUGACGAACAAGCCCUUCAAUAAACAGAUGCUGCAGUUGUCGAUAGCAAGUGAACAUUUGUGCCAAAAUAACGUUUCGUGCGACCGUUUAAAAAAUUAUAUGGCGGUAAUUUUAAAAACAUUCGAUAUCGAUACUCAGUCGUUGCUGAGAUGUGAAAGCACACUGUGCUGAAUAAAGCAAGAUGAAAAGAAGGAACAGUGAAAAGGCUAAAUCUUAUGUCCAUGAAGUUUACUUAAGAUAAGUAUUUACCACUACUUAGAAGAAACGUGGAAUAGAGAUGAAAAAGCCUACUGGACAACUACCAAGCACAACUCAACUUUCCUCAUUUGAGCCAUAACGUGUCUUAUUUUAAUUACCUAUUAGUAAAUAAAGCAAUUUCGAAAUUGAACAUGUGCAUGAUCCAAAAUUGUCAGU